AGAAAAACUACCACAACAAGAGGUCAUGGUCUGAAAUUAGAUGAGCAAAGGUUUAAAAAUAUCAGGAAGCAUUACUUUACUGAGAGGGUAGUGGACACAUGGAAUAACCUUCCAGCUGGGGUGGUAGAGGUUAACACAGUGAAGGAGUUUAAGCAUGUGUGGGAUAGGCAAGGCUAUCCUAGACUUAAAGGACCACUAUAGUGCCAGGAAAACAUACUCACUUUUCUGGUACUAUAGUGCCCUGAGGGUGCCCCCACCCUCAGGGACCCCCUCCCGCAGGGCUGGAUGGCGAGGAAAGGGUUAAAUCUUACCUUUUUUCCAGCGCCGGGAGGGGAGCUGCUCUCCUCCUCUCCGGCUGAAUGCGCAUGUGCGGCAGGAGCCGCGCGCGCACUCAGUCUGUCUCAUAGGAAAGCAUUCAUAAUGCUUUCCUAUGGACGCUUGCGUCUUCUCACUGUGUUUUUGACAGAAGCACGCAAACGCCUCUAGCGGCUGUCAAUGAAACAGCAACUAGAGGCUUUAGAGGCUGGAUUAACCCUAUUAUAAACUGC
This is a non-coding RNA of Pelobates cultripes (western spadefoot toad), 548 nucleotides long. The record is from the annotation of a GenBank genome assembly. Lineage: Eukaryota; Metazoa; Chordata; Amphibia; Anura; Pelobatidae.